This 253-nucleotide ribosomal RNA is filed under the name uncultured bacterium. RNAcentral describes it as "partial 16S ribosomal RNA". It matches the Rfam family "Bacterial small subunit ribosomal RNA", at positions 524 to 776 of the family's 1533-position model. The record is from RNAcentral.
UACGUAGGGUGCAAGCGUUAAUCGGAAUUACUGGGCGUAAAGCGUGCGCAGGCGGCUUUGCAAGACAGAUGUGAAAUCCCCGGGCUUAACCUGGGAACUGCAUUUGUGACUGCAUGGCUAGAGUGCGGCAGAGGGGGAUGGAAUUCCGCGUGUAGCAGUGAAAUGCGUAGAUAUGCGGAGGAACACCGAUGGCGAAGGCAAUCCCCUGGGCCGGCACUGACGCUCAUGCACGAAAGCGUGGGGAGCAAACAGG